Pan paniscus (pygmy chimpanzee) is the source of this 1071-nucleotide long non-coding RNA. The record is from Ensembl. NCBI's taxonomy places the organism in Eukaryota, Metazoa, Chordata, Mammalia, Primates, Hominidae.
CCUUGAGGUUCCAGAGCCCACUAAAGCAGGACUUCGGGGCCUCACUUUACCUUUCUCUUCCCUGGAGACCACUGAAAUGCACUGGCGAGAGAGCUGGGUUUAAUAUUCAUGAACCAGCCAGGCAUGAGUGAUUAGCUGACUCCUGUUGGAGGAGGAGGAAUAAUUGAAUGCGGUAUUUACGUAACAAGUUAAUGCUGCCACCCGCCUGUGGGGCUCCUUUGUGGGUCUGUCCUGCACCUCCCUACUUGCCCACAUUGUGUUUCUCCUCACCUGCCUUGGAUGGCCUAGGAGGAAGUGCAGUGGCUUUGCACCCCUCUGCAAUUGGGGCUGCCGUCUAAAUGAUAACAUUAUUUAGGGAACAGAACUCCAGUGCCUGGGAGAGCCUGUAAUGGGCUGGUCGGUGGCCUGCCCGGGGGGCUGGACCCCUAAACAAAACCCUUCUGCAGACUCUGAGAAAUGACAAGGGGAAGCUGAGAAGCUGAGACUGGGUUUUUGACAUGGGCCUUCUUGCCCCAAACCUUCAGGAGACCUUGAGCACAUUCCAUCCCAUUUUUUGGCUUCUUUCCUUUUCUGCAACACACAGGGCCCCAGCCCGACCCUCUGUGGUCUAGGACUGCAUUCCAGCUGCCUGGUUGAAGGCAGCAGGCAAGGGCAGAAGCCGGGGUGCGGGGCCAUUCAAAAGAGAACUGCUCUUUUGUGGCUGCAAAGGGGAGGUAAGGCACUGUUUCCAUGCCUUCCUCAAGAGCUGCCUUUGGGGUUACCCCUGGUCAGUGCUCACUUGGGGUCCUGGAAUCAAAGGUUCUUAGCUCAUAAUCACCUCAUUCAUGGCUGGCUGGGAGGUGUGCUGUGUGCAUGUCUGACCCUGGGCAUGAGGAACACCAGCCAAGUCCUUCUGGCUGCAGUUAAAAGGGCUCACCGGCCUCUCCCUGAAGUCUUGGCCCGGGAGCCUGUGUCCUCCAGGUAGCUGUGCUGUGGGGAGCUGGAGAGGACUGAAGAGCUGAGGAGGGUACUUUGGCCUCUGGCUUUGUGGGAUGUGGGGUGUGGGGGGAGGGAGGGAGGAGGAACCCAGGC